RNAcentral lists this ribosomal RNA (264 nucleotides) under uncultured archaeon. Its description in RNAcentral is "partial 16S ribosomal RNA". It matches the Rfam family "Archaeal small subunit ribosomal RNA", at positions 717 to 982 of the family's 1478-position model. The record is from RNAcentral.
AGACGUCUACAUUAGAUACCCCGGUAGUCCCAGCCGUAAACUAUGCGCGUUAGGUGUAUCGGUGACCACGAGUUACCGAGGUGCCGAAGGGAAGCCGUGAAGCGAGCCACCUGGGAAGUACGGCCGCAAGGCUGAAACUUAGAGGAAUUGGCGGGGAGCACAACAACAGGUGGAGCCUGCGGUUUAAUUGGACUCAACGCCGGGAAGCUCACCGGAUAAGACAGCGGAAUGAUUGCCGGGCUGAAGACUCUGCAUGACUAGCUG